This 433-nucleotide ribosomal RNA is filed under the name uncultured bacterium. RNAcentral describes it as "partial 16S ribosomal RNA". It matches the Rfam family "Bacterial small subunit ribosomal RNA", at positions 29 to 507 of the family's 1533-position model. The record is from RNAcentral.
AACGAACGCUGGCGGCAUGCCUAACACAUGCAAGUCGAACGAGACCUUCGGGUCUAGUGGCGCACGGGUGCGUAACGCGUGGGAACCUGCCCUUAGGUUCGGAAUAACUCCCCGAAAGGGGUGCCAAUACCGGAUAAUGUCUUCGGACCAAAGAUUUAUCGACUUUGGAUGGGCCCGCAUUGGAUUAGCUAGUUGGUAGGGUAAAAGCCUACCAAGGCGACGAUCCAUAGCUGGUCUGAGAGGAUGAUCAGCCACACUGGGACUGAGACACGGCCCAGACUCCUACGGGAGGCAGCAGUGGGGAAUAUUGGACAAUGGGCGAAAGCCUGAUCCAGCAAUGCCGCGUGAGUGAUGAAGGCCUUAGGGUUGUAAAGCUCUUUUACCCGGGAUGAUAAUGACAGUACCGGGAGAAUAAGCUCCGGCUAACUCCGUG